GACGAACGCUGGCGGCGUGCUUAACACAUGCAAGUCGAACGCUGAAGCUCAGCUUUUGUUGGGUGGAUGAGUGGCGAACGGGUGAGUAGCACGUGAGUAACCUGCCCCCUUCUUUGGGAUAACGCCCGGAAACGGGUGCUAAUACUGGAUAUUCACUGGUCUUCGCAUGGGGGUUGGUGGAAAGGGUUUUUCUGGUGGGGGAUGGGCUCGCGGCCUAUCAGCUUGUUGGUGGGGUGAUGGCCUACCAAGGCUUUGACGGGUAGCCGGCCUGAGAGGGUGACCGGUCACAUUGGGACUGAGAUACGGCCCAGACUCCUACGGGAGGCAGCAGUGGGGAAUAUUGCACAAUGGGCGCAAGCCUGAUGCAGCGACGCCGCGUGAGGGAUGGAGGCCUUCGGGUUGUGAACCUCUUUCGCUCAUGGUCAAGCCGCAACAAUGGUUGUGGUGAGGGUAGUGGGUAAAGAAGCGCCGGCUAACUACGUG
This 483-nucleotide ribosomal RNA is filed under the name uncultured bacterium. RNAcentral's name for it is "partial 16S ribosomal RNA". It matches the Rfam family "Bacterial small subunit ribosomal RNA", at positions 28 to 507 of the family's 1533-position model. The record is from RNAcentral.